RNAcentral lists this ribosomal RNA (430 nucleotides) under uncultured Staphylococcus sp. Its description in RNAcentral is "bacterial SSU rRNA". It matches the Rfam family "Bacterial small subunit ribosomal RNA", at positions 354 to 776 of the family's 1533-position model. Lineage: Bacteria; Bacillati; Bacillota; Bacilli; Caryophanales; Staphylococcaceae. The record is from RNAcentral.
GUAGGGAAUCUUCCGCAAUGGGCGAAAGCCUGACGGAGCAACGCCGCGUGAGUGAUGAAGGUCUUCGGAUCGUAAAACUCUGUUGUUAGGGAAGAACAAAUUUGUUAGUAACUGAACAAGUCUUGACGGUACCUAACCAGAAAGCCACGGCUAACUACGUGCCAGCAGCCGCGGUAAUACGUAGGUGGCAAGCGUUAUCCGGAAUUAUUGGGCGUAAAGCGCGCGUAGGCGGUUUCUUAAGUCUGAUGUGAAAGCCCACGGCUCAACCGUGGAGGGUCAUUGGAAACUGGGAAACUUGAGUGCAGAAGAGGAGAGUGGAAUUCCAUGUGUAGCGGUGAAAUGCGCAGAGAUAUGGAGGAACACCAGUGGCGAAGGCGGCUCUCUGGUCUGUAACUGACGCUGAUGUGCGAAAGCGUGGGGAUCAAACAGG